RNAcentral lists this long non-coding RNA (1710 nucleotides) under Nicotiana benthamiana. RNAcentral describes it as "long non-coding RNA (NBEN_LNC009678)". Lineage: Eukaryota; Viridiplantae; Streptophyta; Magnoliopsida; Solanales; Solanaceae. The record is from RNAcentral.
CUUUUUCACUAGCCAUCUCCAAGAGUUUAUUACAACAUUAUUAUAGGCCAGAAUAAAGUAAAGCAAAGAAAAUACAUCGGAAAUCAAAAGUACAACCAAGGAGGUCCUAAUUCAGACUUCUUGUCUGAAAUAUGAAGUAAACCAGCUCCAAUAGAUCAUGUUCCAAAGUCUUUCCCCAUUUGGAUGUGUCAAAGUUCCCUAAAAGUCUCAUAUGAACUCAGGGCAGUUCUCACGCCCAAAUGUAUCACCAGAUAGUGAAAUAGUGCAAUAUGGUUAGGCCAGCCUCAAGUGUCCAAGUUCAAAUGGAACUCAAGGUCCCAAGGCAAAGCUCACAAGAGAGGGGUAGAACUUAGGGACUAAAAGAGAGUGCAAGUGCAGAAAUAGAAUAUUGAAAGGGGAAAGGGAGAAAGGGAAUAAUUUAAAUUAGUACACAUAGGGGUACAUGGGAAUGAGGAGGUUGCGAAUAGGCAAAACUAUACUGGUGGGCACACCCAGCAAUGGGAGAUGUUGGCACACCCAUACGCCUAUUAGAACAUAUUGUAUAAAGGUUAGACCCCAAGGGACCAAACUUAACUCAUGGACAACAACUUACAUUGCCAUGCCUUAAGUCAUAAUGCAAAACACAUAUAGGGGCAAGGGUUUGGGGGUUCAUGAUAAAACAAACAGAAGGAAAUCGGCUUGCCAGUUUAAGUGCUGAAAUAUAAAGAAACAGUAAGUAAUCAUAGAUACAAAACGCAAUAAAUACAUAUAGUUGUGAUGCUGAAGCUUAAAUUAGGACUUAUCAGUUUCAAAGAAAUAAAUAAAGGGAAGCAGUAGGUCUUUCAAAACAACCCACGGUGUAGAAAAGAAGAGAAUAUUAUUGUGUCGGUGAGAGUCAGAAAGAUUGUGAAUCCCCCCUUUUCAGUUUGUGAAAGGUUCGUGCCUUUAUAUUGUGAAAAUCAAGCAGAAAUAAGGUAAGAAAAUAGUUGAGGAACUGAAUAUCAAUUAAGAAUAGACCACACAAGACUUCCUUUAAUUAAGGAAUUCAGAUUCAAACGGGUAAAACUAUUUGAGGAAAGAAAUUAAACAAACAUCUUUGUGCAGAGUAGGCAAUUAGGAGCAAAUACAUAAAAAGUUAUUUAAGGAUAGAGUUUUGAAGUACAUGGUGUACAAACAAGGUAAGAAAAUCAAUUAGUAGCCAGUAAAUCAAUGAUCAGGGAUCUUGUAAUUAUUGAUCCAUGAAUGAACCAAGUCAAAAAAUCUGAGAAGGGUUUUAAGAAUAAGUCGAGUCAUAAGGAAAAACAGCAAAUAAGGAAGGAAAAUCAAUUAGUCUUAUUUAUAAGUAAGUCUGAUCUAAUCACAAAUUUGAAAACCCCUUUAGAUGGAAGUUUGUCAUAUAUAAAGAACAUGUAGACAUAUGAGAGAAGGGUCGUGUCAUUGAAAAAUUAGUAGAAAAAAUCCAAUGUAGAAGAGUUUAGCAAAAGGUUAGAAUCAUAUGAAAAUAGGGAUGUCCAAACUCAGUUCAGAGACUUGAAAUUGGUGUGAAAGAGUUAGGGAUUUCAAAAUAAAACCCUAUUUCAAGUAAAUCACAUAAUCAAACUUGGAAGAACCCCACAUUCUAAGGUUUCCACCAAGAAUUGAGUGCGGAAUUGAGAGGGCAAGUAAUUAAAUCGAAACGGGUUCAGAGGCCUCAAAAAAGACUAAAACCUCUAACAUGUUCCUUUCAGCAAC